GCACAAGCGGUGGAGCAUGUGGUUUAAUUCGAUGCAACGCGAAGAACCUUACCUACUCUUGACAUCCAGAGAACUUUCCAGAGAUGGAUUGGUGCCUUCGGGAACUCUGAGACAGGUGCUGCAUGGCUGUCGUCAGCUCGUGUUGUGAAAUGUUGGGUUAAGUCCCGCAACGAGCGCAACCCUUAUCCUUUGUUGCCAGCGGUUAGGCCGGGAACUCAAAGGAGACUGCCAGUGAUAAACUGGAGGAAGGUGGGGAUGACGUCAAGUCAUCAUGGCCCUUACGAGUAGGGCUACACACGUGCUACAAUGGCGCAUACAAAGAGAAGCGACCUCGCGAGAGCAAGCGGACCUCAUAAAGUGCGUCGUAGUCCGGAUUGGAGUCUGCAACUCGACUCCAUGAAGUCGGAAUCGCUAGUAAUCGUAGAUCAGAAUGCUACGGUGAA
RNAcentral lists this ribosomal RNA (443 nucleotides) under uncultured bacterium. RNAcentral's name for it is "bacterial SSU rRNA". It matches the Rfam family "Bacterial small subunit ribosomal RNA", at positions 923 to 1366 of the family's 1533-position model. The record is from RNAcentral.